Molecule: ribosomal RNA, 253 nt
Filed under: uncultured bacterium
Lineage: Bacteria
Description: partial 16S ribosomal RNA
Rfam family: Bacterial small subunit ribosomal RNA
Source: RNAcentral
UACGUAGGGUGCAAGCGUUAAUCGGAAUUACUGGGCGUAAAGCGUGCGCAGGCGGUUAUGCAAGACAGGUGGGAAAUCCCCGGGCUCAACCUGGGAACUGCAUUUGUGACUGCAUGGCUAGAGUGCGGCAGAGGGGGAUGGAAUUCCGCGUGUAGCAGUGAAAUGCGUAGAUAUGCGGAGGAACACCGAUGGCGAAGGCAAUCCCCUGGGCCUGCACUGGCGCUCAUGCACGAAAGCGUGGGGAGCAAACAGG